RNAcentral lists this transfer RNA (75 nucleotides) under Russula compacta. RNAcentral's name for it is "tRNA-Ser". Lineage: Eukaryota; Fungi; Basidiomycota; Agaricomycetes; Russulales; Russulaceae. The record is from RNAcentral.
AGGAUUAAGUGUUAGAUGGUUUCAACUAUAAAUUUUCGAGAAAUUUAUAAUUAGGUUCGAUUCCUAUUAAUUCUA